GGGCGAUUGGUUUAGUGGUAUAAUACCCCCUUAGCAUGGGGGUGGUCCAGGGUUCGAUUCCCUGAUCGUCCA
RNAcentral lists this transfer RNA (72 nucleotides) under Blastomyces dermatitidis ATCC 26199. RNAcentral's name for it is "tRNA-Ala (AGC) (tRNA-Ala-AGC-1-1)". It matches the Rfam family "tRNA". Rfam says of the family: Transfer RNA (tRNA) molecules are approximately 80 nucleotides in length. Their secondary structure includes four short double-helical elements and three loops (D, anti-codon, and T loops). Further hydrogen bonds mediate the characteristic L-shaped molecular structure. tRNAs have two regions of fundamental functional importance: the anti-codon, which is responsible for specific mRNA codon recognition, and the 3' end, to which the tRNAs corresponding amino acid is attached (by aminoacyl-tRNA synthetases). tRNAs cope with the degeneracy of the genetic code in two manners: having more than one tRNA (with a specific anti-codon) for a particular amino acid; and 'wobble' base-pairing, i.e. permitting non-standard base-pairing at the 3rd anti-codon position. RNAcentral also lists the same sequence under 9 other names. Lineage: Eukaryota; Fungi; Ascomycota; Eurotiomycetes; Onygenales; Ajellomycetaceae. The record is from RNAcentral.